This 253-nucleotide ribosomal RNA is filed under the name uncultured bacterium. Its description in RNAcentral is "partial 16S ribosomal RNA". It matches the Rfam family "Bacterial small subunit ribosomal RNA", at positions 524 to 776 of the family's 1533-position model. The record is from RNAcentral.
UACGGAGGGUGCAAGCGUUGUCCGGAUUUACUGGGCGUAAAGCGCGCGUAGGUGGCUGUUUAAGUCAUCUGUGAAAGCCCGGGGCUCAACCCCGGGUCUGCAGGCGAAACUGAACGGCUAGAGCUCGGUAGAGGCGAGUAGAAUUCCCGGUGUAGCGGUGGAAUGCGUAGAUAUCGGGAAGAAUACCAGUGGCGAAGGCGGCUCGCUGGGCCGAAGCUGACACUGAGGUGCGAAAGCGUGGGGAGCAAACAGG